CACGUAGGGUGCGAGCGUUGUCCGGAAUUAUUGGGCGUAAAGAGCUCGUAGGCGGUGUGUCGCGUCGGCCGUGAAAACCUGCAGCUUAACUGUGGGCUUGCGGUCGAUACGGGCAUCACUGGAGUUCGGCAGGGGAGACUGGAAUUCCUGGUGUAGCGGUGAAAUGCGUAGAUAUCUGGAGGAACACCGGUGGCGAAGGCGGCAUCCUGGACCAAUAUUGACGCUGAGGAGCGAAAGCCAGGGGAGCAAACGGG
This 254-nucleotide ribosomal RNA is filed under the name uncultured bacterium. RNAcentral describes it as "partial 16S ribosomal RNA". It matches the Rfam family "Bacterial small subunit ribosomal RNA", at positions 524 to 776 of the family's 1533-position model. The record is from RNAcentral.